RNAcentral lists this ribosomal RNA (450 nucleotides) under uncultured bacterium. Its description in RNAcentral is "partial 16S ribosomal RNA". It matches the Rfam family "Bacterial small subunit ribosomal RNA", at positions 354 to 796 of the family's 1533-position model. The record is from RNAcentral.
GUGGGGAAUUUUGGACAAUGGGCGCAAGCCUGAUCCAGCAAUGCCGCGUGCAGGAAGAAGGCCUUCGGGUUGUAAACUGCUUUUGUACGGAACGAAACGGUCCUGGUUAAUACCUGGGGCUAAUGACGGUACCGUAAGAAUAAGCACCGGCUAACUACGUGCCAGCAGCCGCGGUAAUACGUAGGGUGCAAGCGUUAAUCGGAAUUACUGGGCGUAAAGCGUGCGCAGGCGGUUUUGUAAGACAGUCGUGAAAUCCCCGGGGUCAACCUGGGAAUUGCGCUUGUGACUGCAAGGCUGGAGUGUGUCAGAGGGAGGUGGAAUUCCGCGUGUAGCAGUGAAAUGCGUAGAGAUGCGGAGGAACACCGAUGGCGAAGGCAGCCUCCUGGGAUAACACUGACGCUCAGGCACGAAAGCGUGGGGAGCAAACAGGAUUAGAUACCCCGGUAGUCC